GGCGGGUUUGUCUUUGGAGUGCUUUCUUGAGAAAGGAGUGCUCUCUGCAAACCCUCUCUCCCUUCCCUCUCUUCACCCUGGAGAUUGUCUUUACAUUCAGCUUGAGACUGCGCUGAAAGAUCCUUGGUACCUCUGUGGUCUCUUGAGUGGACUGCCCGACCCAGUGGGCAAGGAGCCCCCACGUCUGGCAGACCAAGCCAGCCCAUUCCUCACAUGUCAUGGAUUUUCCUGGAGGGAAACAGCGGAUGCCACAUGGUCAUGGCUUGAAAGGAUUCCAUGCUGUCUGCACAAAUAGAGACUGGAGCCUCUGGGAACAGCCUUGCUCUCACCUCACUCCCAGAAAGCCUCCCUGCCCUGGCCCGUGCAAACAGGCAGUGAAUUGUUGCUCUCACUUCUACACACUGAUGUACUGUGGGGCUGAGGCUUGGGGUUUUUGCCUUAAAAAAAAUAAAUCUCUUCAUCUCCUUUCUGCAUUGGACAUGCUUGUCUCUGGGGACUUUUCCUUCCCAGACAGCCCUGAGUGACACGGACAAGAGGAUUCUUGGGAGGGGCCUGACUGAACUGCAGCCACCUAGGCAUUACCAGUGUGGUUGAGAAGACGGAAAGCUGAUGAGCGAUCUGGUGAACUCCGUAGACUGUGGCUAU
Molecule: long non-coding RNA, 645 nt
Filed under: Homo sapiens (human)
Lineage: Eukaryota; Metazoa; Chordata; Mammalia; Primates; Hominidae
Description: HSALNT0184435
Source: RNAcentral